CGGGUUUCUUCAUUCUACAUAAAGUUUGCAGUGGGGAAACUAAAGUGUGUUCAUGCUUCUUCAUCUCCCUCUUUUCAGAUCCAUCAAACAGAAACUGCGGUGCCAGAAACCCUGCUGCUCUACUUGACAUUUUGUAAAAUCGCUGACGUUGUUCCUAAUGUGUCUCUUGAUCCUGCGUACAGAGGAGCUGAACACAAAGUGCCAAACAAUAUGUGAGGAGUGUGACUCCUGAACCUAGGCUUCUGGAGGGGCCUCUGGACACUCCCGGAGGAGCAUCAGGGUGUCUGGGGUUCUUCUCGGACGGUCUGGGUUCAGGGCACCUGAAGAUAGUAUGAUGGGCUCAGGGCGUCCAUUGAAGGAAAGAAGACAUCACAGAAGAAGCCAUCGUGACUUUCCGACUACCCCUUGGGUACGGUGCUGCCUACUUUUGUCCCACAACAGGUUUGAAGAAAAGAUGGAUCACAGCUUCAGCCCACAGAGGUUCUUACACACCACAGUGCUUUGGGGAAAUUACUAUUCCUUGGGGACGAGAAAACCUAAGGGGAGGCAGUGUGGUGCUGAGACCAUUGGCUCCCUGCCAUAAAUGUGUUCAUUAUUUUUUCCUUUUGUGUGUGUGUGUGUGUGUGUGUGUGUGUGUGUGUGUUAAGUUAGUUCGGGUCAGAGAUGAAAGAACUGUUCGGCCUCUUGGUUUUUUCUUGUGUUAGGUGAAAUUAGGACACUUUCUAAUACCCAUAUUCUUAGGUUGUAAAGUUCAGGGAAUAAACCACGUAAGUGCUGCUUUGAAAUGGAUCUCCGUCUCCUGCCUAUUUAUUUUUAAAGAGAACACAACGCUACAAUAUUAUAAAGUCACAUACAAUGUUGUGUACAUACAAGCAUCCUACUUGUGUCAGUAAGACAUCAUGAAAUAUUAAUCCAAUACUUUUGAAACCAGUAUAUGUUUUUGCAGGAAACAUAUUGUAGACUUAGGAAGGCAUUUUACUUUAAAUAGGUGUUCGAAUAAACAAACUCACAAUAUCUUUAAACACUCCACAGCAGUCGAUCUAUGUGCCAUGCGUUUAAAUUAAUCUUUAUGGAGGGUGCCAAUAAUUUAGCACUUUGAUGUCAUGCACUUGGCAGCUUUAAGAUUCAGCUGAUCCAAUUAAAUACUUUUUUCUUUCUCACCUCCUAGCAAACAGUUUAUCAGUAUUACAAUCUAAAGGUACAUUUGCUUUUUUUCUCUCUCCAUACUAUUAUUAAAGAAUAAUGUACUACAUAUACAUCUUUAUAUACUGUACAUUAUGUGCAAUAUUGUACAAGUUCUAAAAUAAACUGAAAAAAGGCCCCUAGAUGUAGCAAAAAAGCUUUCCAGGUGUU
Long non-coding RNA from Silurus meridionalis, 1353 nucleotides. RefSeq lists it as uncharacterized. The transcript has 3 exons. The record is from RefSeq and is a predicted model, not a curated record. Lineage: Eukaryota; Metazoa; Chordata; Actinopteri; Siluriformes; Siluridae.